This 497-nucleotide ribosomal RNA is filed under the name uncultured bacterium. Its description in RNAcentral is "partial 16S ribosomal RNA". It matches the Rfam family "Bacterial small subunit ribosomal RNA", at positions 28 to 507 of the family's 1533-position model. The record is from RNAcentral.
GACGAACGCUGGCGGCGUGCCUAAUACAUGCAAGUUGAGCGCUGAAGGUUGGUACUUGUACCAACUGGAUGAGCAGCGAACGGGUGAGUAACGCGUGGGGAAUCUGCCUUUGAGCGGGGGACAACAUUUGGAAACGAAUGCUAAUACCGCAUAAAAACUUUAAACACAAGCUUUAAGUUUGAAAGAUGCAAUUGCAUCACUCAAAGAUGAUCCCGCGUUGUAUUAGCUAGUUGGUGAGGUAAAGGCUCACCAAGGCGAUGAUACAUAGCCGACCUGAGAGGGUGAUCGGCCACAUUGGGACUGAGACACGGCCCAAACUCCUACGGGAGGCAGCAGUAGGGAAUCUUCGGCAAUAGACGAAAGUCUGACCGAGCAACGCCGCGUGAGUGAAGAAGGUUUUCGGAUCGUAAAACUCUGUUGGUAGAGAAGAACGUUGGUGAGAGUGGAAAGCUCAUCAAGUGACGGUAACUACCCAGAAAGGGACGGCUAACUACGUG